Molecule: long non-coding RNA, 346 nt
Organism: Ornithodoros turicata
Lineage: Eukaryota; Metazoa; Arthropoda; Arachnida; Ixodida; Argasidae
Exons: 3
Source: RefSeq, a predicted model, not a curated record
UCUUUGCAGGACAAGGCUUAGCAUUCGUAGUCUAUCCAGAGGCCCUCGCAUCAUUUUGGUUUCCGCACUUGUGGUCCGUCAUCUUCUUCUUUAUGCUCUUCAUCCUGGGCAUCGACAGCGAGUUUCCACUUCUGCAAACUGCGCUCACUGUGCUGUCAGACACAUUUCCAUGGCUUGAAAAUCACCGAGCUACGCUGUCGAUAGUGUCCUGCACUUUGUGCUUCUUCAUCGGGAUUACAAACGUUACCGACGGCGGCCAGUAUGUCCUCAACCUGACGGACACUUACAGCGCAGGCCUCUCUCUCAUAUUUAUCGGGUUUUGCGAAGUCACAGCUGUUAUGUGGAU